RNAcentral lists this unclassified non-coding RNA (224 nucleotides) under plant metagenome. RNAcentral describes it as "partial contains small subunit ribosomal RNA, internal transcribed spacer 1, and 5.8S ribosomal RNA". The record is from RNAcentral.
UCUCCGUUGGUGAACCAGCGGAGGGAUCAUUACAGGACUCGCAAGACUCCUUCACCCUGUGAACCUCACUACAAGCACGUUGCUUCGGCGGGUGUCCCGGCGGGGGAUUCCCCUCGCCGGGGCGCACAGCCCGCCGGCAGCCUACUAUACUCUGUCUCUUUGCGUUGGCAUCUCGAGAAAAAACAAACAAGUUAAAACUUUCAACAACGGAUCUCUUGGUUCUG